GGCUCUUUAAGACAGUGUGAAGAAUUCUGGGAUGCCAGUGGAGUAGGAAGGUCGGCUGGCUGCUUUCGCUGCCUUUCUGAGCUGGCGGGCUCUCACUUUAGCAUCUGUCUCCCCAGUCUUCAUUGGUACCAUCCAUCAUGGUGGGGACGGCGUAGAAGCAGGAGCAUGAGGCCACUGCUCACACCGAGACAACAGCCAGCAAGCAGAGAGAUGGAUGCUGGUGUUCCACUCGUCUUCUGCAUUUCAUUUUGUUUCUGUCUGGGACCCCAGCCCAUGAAAUGCUGCCUGUGACAUUUAGGUGGCAUCUUCUCACUUUGAAUAACCCAACCUGGAAACGCCCUAACAGACAUGUCCAGAGGUUUGUCUUCUCGGUGACUCCGGAUCCUGUCAUGGACAAUGUUAAACCAUCUCACCCUUGAACCAAGAGAAGAGUUAGUGGUCUCUGUGACGGGGAGCAGUGAUGCCAGUGCUGUGAGGUGCAGUAGACAUGUGUGCAAGAGCCUCUCAGAAGGUUCCUUAUACUUCCACGUCCUCAUGUUGCGUUCUGGUGAUAUGGCCUAGGUCAUCAGAACCAUGGGAAACUCCAACGACCAGGAAGAUCGGUGUGGGUGGGUGCACAUCAGUACAGAGAGCAGUACACCCUCUCAGAGUCCCUGAGCCAUCUCGUCAGCCCCUGAAGUCAUUUUCUAAAAAUAAAAGAUUUGUUUAUUUCU
Molecule: long non-coding RNA, 713 nt
Organism: Rattus norvegicus (Norway rat)
Lineage: Eukaryota; Metazoa; Chordata; Mammalia; Rodentia; Muridae
Source: RefSeq, a predicted model, not a curated record